AGGGGGGCGGGGGCGUCCCUUAGCCCAGAUUGCGAGAGGUCACAGGCCAGGCGGAGGGACCCCAUCGGUGCAUG
Molecule: microRNA precursor, 74 nt
Filed under: Myotis davidii
Lineage: Eukaryota; Metazoa; Chordata; Mammalia; Chiroptera; Vespertilionidae
Description: mir-9193 microRNA precursor family
Rfam family: mir-9193 microRNA precursor family
Source: Rfam by way of RNAcentral